ACGAACGCUGGCGGCGUGCCUAAUACAUGCAAGUAGAACGCACAGUUUAUACCGUAGCUUGCUACACCAUAAACUGUGAGUUGCGAACGGGUGAGUAACGCGUAGGUAACCUGCCUGGUAGCGGGGGAUAACUAUUGGAAACGAUAGCUAAUACCGCAUAAUAUUGAUUAUUGCAUGAUAAUUGAUUGAAAGAUGCUAUUGCAUCACUACCAGAUGGACCUGCGUUGUAUUAGCUAGUAGGUGAGGUAACGGCUCACCUAGGCGACGAUACAUAGCCGACCUGAGAGGGUGAUCGGCCACACUGGGACUGAGACACGGCCCAGACUCCUACGGGAGGCAGCAGUAGGGAAUCUUCGGCAAUGGACGAAAGUCUGAACGAGCAACGCCGCGUGAGUGAAGAAGGUUUUCGGAUCGUAAAGCUCUGUUGUAAGAGAAGAACGGGUGUGAGAGUGGAAAGUUCACACUGUGACGGUAUCUUACCAGAAAGGGACGGCUAACUACGUG
RNAcentral lists this ribosomal RNA (504 nucleotides) under uncultured bacterium. RNAcentral's name for it is "partial 16S ribosomal RNA". It matches the Rfam family "Bacterial small subunit ribosomal RNA", at positions 29 to 507 of the family's 1533-position model. The record is from RNAcentral.